This 164-nucleotide small nuclear RNA is filed under the name Paramuricea clavata. RNAcentral describes it as "U1 spliceosomal RNA". It matches the Rfam family "U1 spliceosomal RNA". From Rfam's summary of the family: U1 is a small nuclear RNA (snRNA) component of the spliceosome (involved in pre-mRNA splicing). Its 5' end forms complementary base pairs with the 5' splice junction, thus defining the 5' donor site of an intron. The record is from Rfam by way of RNAcentral. Lineage: Eukaryota; Metazoa; Cnidaria; Anthozoa; Malacalcyonacea; Plexauridae.
AUACUUACCUGACGCGAGAGGCACCUUGAUCAACUAGGAGGUCCUCUCAGGAUGAGGCCCUUUCAUUGCACUUCGACUGGGUUGACUCCUGCGAUUACCCCUAAUGUGGGUAACUCGAGCGUAUAAUUUCUGGUAGUGGGGACCUGCGUUCGCGCUCUUCCCCU